RNAcentral lists this non-coding RNA (301 nucleotides) under Symbiodinium sp. clade D. The record is from RNAcentral. Lineage: Eukaryota; Dinophyceae; Suessiales; Symbiodiniaceae.
UCAAAAGAAGAAAAGAGAAAUGGAACAGGAGAAGAAGGAAAAAGGAAGGGAAUUGUCUUAUUUGGUCUAUUUCACUGUAAUUUUUCUAUUUCCUUUUAUAUUUGUUCUAACCGUUCACUCUUCAUUACAUUAAAUUACAAUGGAACUGAAUGAAUGAAGUGUAAGCGUGAAUUUAAUGGAAUGAAAACAAGUGAACGGUUAGACCAAAAUAUAAAAUGGAAUUGUGUUCUUUAUUCGUUUAAUUCGCGCUCUCUUCUUUCGCUUCUAAUUAAAUGAAUAAAGGACACAGCUCAUUCAUCAU